Molecule: unclassified non-coding RNA, 240 nt
Filed under: soil metagenome
Description: partial contains 5.8S ribosomal RNA, internal transcribed spacer 2, and large subunit ribosomal RNA
Source: RNAcentral
AACUGAUACUACCUGCGGGAACUGCGGAGGGAUCAUUACUGAAGUGAUUUGGGGAUGUUGCUGGCCCUCUCUCAAGGGGGGGCACUGUGCACUCCUCGAAACAAUUCACAAUUUCCAUCACACCCCUUGUGCACACCUUGUAGGCACCCAAACCCACCUCCGGGUGGUGGGGUCCUAUGUAUUCCUUCAUCUCACACUCUGUUGAAUGGUGCCAUGGGACGCAUCUAAAGGAUUAUUUGU